CGGCCUUCACAAUAAACCUAUUUGAAACCCAUUUCCCCUGUAUAACGAGAACUCCUCCAUCUCUUUCCCAACUUCUCUCUCAAAUCAGAUAAUCGGUCGGUCAGUUUAUCUCGGCUCCACCGCACCUCCACCUCGUUACAGCUCUUUCCGUCAAACGCACAGACCCAUCUUCUCGCCCCAGAUGCUCCAUUAGCUUCUCUCACUCCCAUCAACACAAGGGCUACUGCACUCCUUCCUUUCACGGCCAAAUUCUCAACUGCAACAAAACAAAUCUCUGUUUCUAUCUCGCAGAACCCAUUUCUGCCCUCAGAGUACAAGAAGAAAAAGGAAGCAGACCACCGUUUCAUCAUUUAGAAAACUUGGUAUCAAUUUGCUGCGAUUCAGUCCCUGAAUCACCUGUGCUGCCAUUCCUCGAAUAGCUAUUUACAUUCUCUUGUUCCUAAAGUUGGAGGUACUGUUAAGUAUUUUUGUAAGUAAAAUCUCAAAUUGGGUUAAAAUAUUAAUUUGUUUGUCAUUAUUUAGAUUUUAUAUUUGCUUGUCAUGGAGCCUAGCUAUUUCCUCUUAAUUUGUUAAAUUCUGGAAAUGUCAAUUAGUUGACGUAUGGCCUCAAAAAGACUGAGUUCUUGUUAAGUGGUGAUUGGGUUUUUCUUUUCUAUACAUAUAUGCUGAGACUUGAUUUGUUAAAUUCUGGAAAUUUCAAUUAGUUGAUGUAUGGCUUCAAAAUGGAAUUUUGAGACCGAUUUCUUGUUAAGUGGUGAUAGGGUUUCUCUUUUCUGGACAUAUAUGCUGGGACUUGAUUUGUUCAAUUCUGGAAAUUUCAAUUAGUUUAUGUAUGGCUUCAAAAUGGAAUUUUGAGACCGAUUUCUUGUUAAGUGGUGAUAGGGUUUCUCUUUUCUGGACAUAUAUGCUGGGACUUGAUUUGUUCAAUUCUGGAAAUUUCAAUUAGUUU
RNAcentral lists this unclassified non-coding RNA (949 nucleotides) under Hevea brasiliensis (rubber tree). Lineage: Eukaryota; Viridiplantae; Streptophyta; Magnoliopsida; Malpighiales; Euphorbiaceae. The record is from RNAcentral.